RNAcentral lists this RNase P RNA (412 nucleotides) under Bdellovibrio sp. qaytius. RNAcentral describes it as "RNase P RNA component class A". It matches the Rfam family "Bacterial RNase P class A". Rfam says of the family: Ribonuclease P (RNase P) is a ubiquitous endoribonuclease, found in archaea, bacteria and eukarya as well as chloroplasts and mitochondria. Lineage: Bacteria; Pseudomonadati; Bdellovibrionota; Bdellovibrionia; Bdellovibrionales; Pseudobdellovibrionaceae. The record is from RNAcentral.
AAGGUUUCGUAGAUAAUCGCGUGGGCAACCACGAGGAAAGUCCGGGCUUCGCAGAGCAGCGCCUGGGGUAACGCCCCUCCAUCGCAAGGUGAGGAACAGUGGAACAGAGAGAAUGUCCAGGGCAUUGAUCCUUUUUUCGGGAACGGGAGAACUAAGGGGAGCCGCUGGAGUGAAAACAGCUAAACUCGUGCGCGAAGCAAGAUCAAAUAGGGAAUCCCUCCUAGCAAUAGGGGGUUCUUGGUAGAGCCGCAAGGUUCUAAACAGAGAAUAAGGGCUGCUCGCCUGAAGAUUCCGGGUACGAUCGCUCGAGCCCCUCAGUAAUGUUGGGCCUAGAGGAAUGAUUAUCGAACUGUGAAGACAAUGUGGGAGUCAACACAGGGAACAGAACCCGGCUUAUCGCGGAACCGACCCA